AGUUAAGGGGCUGUUUCCCAGGACGCUGGUGGAGAGGUUUGUCUGCCCUUGUCCUACUUCGAGACACCUCGUCCAGGGCACGUUGGAUCUCUAUGCAUUGCAAGAGUUGAUUCACCAUGGUCGUCUAUUGUGAAAGGGCGCUCGUCAACUCUAUGACUUGUUGAGUCAAGUGUUGUUCGCCAUUUGGAUUGAAAGAGCUUGGAAGAAAUAUACCUCAUUGAGCAGUGGAAGUGUGGUAGA
RNAcentral lists this long non-coding RNA (240 nucleotides) under Malus domestica (apple). RNAcentral's name for it is "long non-coding RNA (MDOM_LNC015774)". The record is from RNAcentral. Lineage: Eukaryota; Viridiplantae; Streptophyta; Magnoliopsida; Rosales; Rosaceae.